Molecule: ribosomal RNA, 253 nt
Filed under: uncultured bacterium
Lineage: Bacteria
Description: partial 16S ribosomal RNA
Rfam family: Bacterial small subunit ribosomal RNA
Source: RNAcentral
UACGUAGGGCGCAAGCGUUGUCCGGAAUUAUUGGGCGUAAAGAGCUCGUAGGCGGCUUGUCACGUCGGGUGUGAAAGCCCGGGGCUUAACCCCGGGUCUGCAUUCGAUACGGGCUAGCUAGAGUGUGGUAGGGGAGAUCGGAAUUCCUGGUGUAGCGGUGAAAUGCGCAGAUAUCAGGAGGAACACCGGUGACGAAGGCGGAUCUCUGGGCCAUUACUGACGCUGAGGAGCGAAAGCGUGGGGAGCAAACAGG